GCCCGCCUAGCUCAAUUGGCUUAGAGCGUCAGACUUUUAAUUCGUCUGUUUCGGCGGUAUCUGAAGGCUGCGGGUUCGACCCCCGCGGUGGGCU
Non-coding RNA from Mycena rebaudengoi, 94 nucleotides. Lineage: Eukaryota; Fungi; Basidiomycota; Agaricomycetes; Agaricales; Mycenaceae. The record is from the annotation of a GenBank genome assembly.